GACUCCAUGAAGCUGGAUUCGCUAGUAAUCGCGCAUCAGCCACGGCGCGGUGAAUACGUUCCCGGGCCUUGUACACACCGCCCGUCAAGCCAUGGAAGCCGGGGGGUGCCUGAAGUGCGCUGCCGCAAGGAGCGUCCUAGGGUAAAACCGGUGACUGGGGCUAAGUCGUAACAAGGUAAC
This 180-nucleotide ribosomal RNA is filed under the name uncultured bacterium. RNAcentral describes it as "partial 16S ribosomal RNA". It matches the Rfam family "Bacterial small subunit ribosomal RNA", at positions 1314 to 1500 of the family's 1533-position model. The record is from RNAcentral.